RNAcentral lists this ribosomal RNA (404 nucleotides) under uncultured bacterium. RNAcentral's name for it is "bacterial SSU rRNA". It matches the Rfam family "Bacterial small subunit ribosomal RNA", at positions 355 to 775 of the family's 1533-position model. The record is from RNAcentral.
UAGGGAAUAUUGCUUAAUGGGCGAAAGCCUGAAGCAGCAACGCCGCGUGAACGAAGAAGGCCUUCGGGUCGUAAAGUUCUUUUACGUGGGAUGAGGAAGGACAGUACCACGAGAAUAAGUCUCGGCUAACUACGUGCCAGCAGCCGCGGUAAAACGUAGGAGACGAGCGUUAUCCGGAUUUACUGGGCGUAAAGCGUGUGUAGGAGGCGUUACAAGUUGGAUGUGAAAGCUCCCGGCUUAACUGGGAGAGGUCGUUCAAGACUGUAGGGCUAGAGUGAGGCAGAGGUAGAUGGAGCUCCGGGAGUAGUGGUGAAAUGCGUAGAUAUCCGGAAGAACACCAGAGGCGAAAGCGAUCUACUGGGCCUAAACUGACACUGAGACGCGAAAGCCAGGGUAGCAAACGG